UCAUUUUGUACAUUUCUAGGACAAGUAUUUCCGGACGGAGGGAGUAUUUGUUAUUUGUGUGUGUAACAGGGCAUCAGCAGACAGUAAUAAAGCCGGAAAGUGGAAGCUCGCCGUGUAUAAUUCGAAUUAUUACCCGACAUUCACUUUUUGCUCACCAGGUAACGACCCUUGAUGUCAGUGACUACAUAAUGAUGUAAUCAUAGAACUCCCAUCUAGCUGAAAAUAUUUAAAUCCGACAUCACACUUGUAUAUGAGGAUAUCCCAAGUUUCAUUCAUGUAUAGUCAAAGAAAUUUGAACACUGAUCUGAAAAAUGUAAAAGGAAUUCAGUAGAGCAUGUUAAUUUGUUACUAGUAGCAUCUUUUGCUUAUAAAAGCGCCAGAUUAUCGCUGUUACCUUGUAGAUUAAAUUGGGUAUAUAGAGCCAACAUUUGAGCACUAGCCCAUGGCCUGGAGGAUUCACUGUUUUGCCUGGACACGUGCUGCAGUGUUGUAGUUCCCGCCCUGCCGCACAUAAACCAAGAGCGCGAGCACUGCCGCGGCGAAUGGCACCACCAGUCCGCCAACCUUGGAGUACAAGUCCAUGGCGCCGCCGUCUUGUCCACCCUAAGAGAUAGGGUACAUGCCAACCGCGGAAGGCGGCUGAACCCAUAGACAUGCAUGUGGCAGCAGCGCCAUGUCGGUGAUUCCGGGCUGGCAUAGUAGCUCUUCCUCAGAGGCCAAUAGCUGACGCGCCACAGGGCGUUGCCCAUGACCUGCGGCAACAAUAACUACUCCCUUACCAGACCGAUGUACUGCUCCGCCAUGGUCGCCGUAUUGUACGAGGGUCGGCUAUGGGCACAGGCCCUGUGCUUGCUGGGGGUACACCACAUGCGGCGGCGGCGAUGGUGGCCGACAGCAUGGUGACACAGACGAUCCCCUCCUGCUCCAUGAGUCCGUUUGACAUCUCCCGGGCAUAAUAGGAGCUCGGUCCCGUUGAGUGUUAAGCACAGCGGGUCGCCGGCGGCCCUUGUGCUGGACAUAUGCACCUUGGCUGACGGGCUGAAGAGGGUAUUAUGGGAAGAAAAUGUCGUGAAUCUUUUAUCAUUUGAAAGUGUUGAAUGAAUCAUGUAUUAUUGAAACAGCAACACGGAUUGUGUACAUGCACACACGGCUACAUGAGCUAUAUAUCUUGUCCA
Molecule: long non-coding RNA, 1175 nt
Organism: Hordeum vulgare subsp. vulgare (domesticated barley)
Lineage: Eukaryota; Viridiplantae; Streptophyta; Magnoliopsida; Poales; Poaceae
Exons: 2
Source: RefSeq, a predicted model, not a curated record